AUGGAGAGACUGGCGACAGUUCUGGACUGCGGCUUGGCCGGCGGCACUGCUUCUGCCUGGCGGCAGGAUUCAUGGCGACUGGACCUACAUGUGAAGCUCGGUUGGUGGCCCGCCGAGAUGGUGUUGAGUGACCGUGUAUUUCAUGGCGUAGAGAGACAGAUAAACGCGCGAUUGAAGCUCCUCAGCAUGGUUGAGCGGUGCUCCUGUGCGCGGAGCAAUGGUGUUUGUAGAAGGGUGAAAGGCCAGUGGCUAGGUGGCUGGGUGUCACACGAUUUGGAGUGGAGAUGCUUUGAGGAUCUGCGGUGA
Non-coding RNA from Vicia faba (fava bean), 306 nucleotides. Lineage: Eukaryota; Viridiplantae; Streptophyta; Magnoliopsida; Fabales; Fabaceae. The record is from the annotation of a GenBank genome assembly.